UUCAAUUUUUAAAAGGGGGUUUUGGCUACCACUUACAGAUGGACCCGCGGCGCAUUAGCUAGUUGGUGAGGUAACGGCUCACCAAGGCGACGAUGCGUAGCCGACCUGAGAGGGUGAUCGGCCACACUGGGACUGAGACACGGCCCAGACUCCUACGGGAGGCAGCAGUAGGGAAUCUUCCGCAAUGGACGAAAGUCUGACGGAGCAACGCCGCGUGAGUGAUGAAGGUUUUCGGAUCGUAAAACUCUGUUGUUAGGGAAGAACAAGUACCGUUCGAAUAGGGCGGUACCUUGACGGUACCUAACCAGAAAGCCACGGCUAACUACGUGCCAGCAGCCGCGGUAAUACGUAGGUGGCAAGCGUUGUCCGGAAUUAUUGGGCGUAAAGCGCGCGCAGGCGGUUUCUUAAGUCUGAUGUGAAAGCCCCCGGCUCAACCGGGGAGGGUCAUUGGAAACUGGGGAACUUGAGUGCAGAAGAGGAGAGUGGAAUUCCACGUGUAGCGGUGAAAUGCGUAGAGAUGUGGAGGAACACCAGUGGCGAAGGCGACUCUCUGGUCUGUAACUGACGCUGAGGCGCGAAAGCGUGGGGAGCGAACAGGAUUAGAUACCCUGGUAGUCCACGCCGUAAACGAUGAGUGCUAAGUGUUAGAGGGUUUCCGCCCUUUAGUGCUGCAGCAAACGCAUUAAGCACUCCGCCUGGGGAGUACGGUCGCAAGACUGAAACUCAAAGGAAUUGACGGGGGCCCGCACAAGCGGUGGAGCAUGUGGUUUAAUUCGAAGCAACGCGAAGAACCUUACCAGGUCUUGACAUCCUCUGACAACCCUAGAGAUAGGGCUUCCCCUUCGGGGGCAGAGUGACAGGUGGUGCAUGGUUGUCGUCAGCUCGUGUCGUGAGAUGUUGGGUUAAGUCCCGCAACGAGCGCAACCCUUGAUCUUAGUUGCCAGCAUUCAGUUGGGCACUCUAAGGUGACUGCCGGUGACAAACCGGAGGAAGGUGGGGAUGACGUCAAAUCAUCAUGCCCCUUAUGACCUGGGCUACACACGUGCUACA
Molecule: ribosomal RNA, 1050 nt
Filed under: Bacillus haynesii
Lineage: Bacteria; Bacillati; Bacillota; Bacilli; Caryophanales; Bacillaceae
Description: bacterial SSU rRNA
Rfam family: Bacterial small subunit ribosomal RNA
Source: RNAcentral